RNAcentral lists this ribosomal RNA (596 nucleotides) under uncultured bacterium. Its description in RNAcentral is "bacterial SSU rRNA". It matches the Rfam family "Bacterial small subunit ribosomal RNA", at positions 202 to 798 of the family's 1533-position model. The record is from RNAcentral.
UAAAGAUUCAUCGCUGAUAGAUAGGCAUGCGUUCCAUUAGGCAGUUGGCGGGGUAACGGCCCACCAAACCGACGAUGGAUAGGGGUUCUGAGAGGAAGGUCCCCCACAUUGGUACUGAGACACGGACCAAACUCCUACGGGAGGCAGCAGUGAGGAAUAUUGGUCAAUGGGCGUAAGCCUGAACCAGCCAAGUCGCGUGAGGGAUGAAGGUUCUAUGGAUCGUAAACCUCUUUUAUAAGGGAAUAAAGUGCGGGACGUGUCCCGUUUUGUAUGUACCUUAUGAAUAAGGAUCGGCUAACUCCGUGCCAGCAGCCGCGGUAAUACGGAGGAUCCGAGCGUUAUCCGGAUUUAUUGGGUUUAAAGGGUGCGUAGGCGGCCUUUUAAGUCAGCGGUGAAAGUCUGUGGCUCAACCAUAGAAUUGCCGUUGAAACUGGGAGGCUUGAGUAUGUUUGAGGCAGGCGGAAUGCGUGGUGUAGCGGUGAAAUGCUUAGAUAUCACGCAGAACCCCGAUUGCGAAGGCAGCCUGCCAAGCCAUGACUGACGCUGAUGCACGAAAGCGUGGGGAUCAAACAGGAUUAGAUACCCUGGUAGUCCAC